GAUGAACGCUGGCGGCGUGCCUAAUACAUGCAAGUCGAGCGAACAGAUGAGGAGCUUGCUCCUCUGACGUUAGCGGCGGACGGGUGAGUAACACGUGGAUAACCUACCUAUAAGACUGGGAUAACUUCGGGAAACCGGAGCUAAUACCGGAUAAUAUAUUGAACCGCAUGGUUCAAUAGUGAAAGACGGUUUUGCUGUCACUUAUAGAUGGAUCCGCGCCGCAUUAGCUAGUUGGUAAGGUAACGGCUUACCAAGGCAACGAUGCGUAGCCGACCUGAGAGGGUGAUCGGCCACACUGGAACUGAGACACGGUCCAGACUCCUACGGGAGGCAGCAGUAGGGAAUCUUCCGCAAUGGGCGGAAGCCUGACGGAGCAACGCCGCGUGAGUGAUGAAGGUCUUCGGAUCGUAAAACUCUGUUAUUAGGGAAGAACAAAUGUGUAAGUAACUAUGCACGUCUUGACGGUACCUAAUCAGAAAGCCACGGCUAACUACGU
Molecule: ribosomal RNA, 496 nt
Filed under: uncultured bacterium
Lineage: Bacteria
Description: partial 16S ribosomal RNA
Rfam family: Bacterial small subunit ribosomal RNA
Source: RNAcentral